RNAcentral lists this ribosomal RNA (581 nucleotides) under uncultured bacterium. RNAcentral describes it as "bacterial SSU rRNA". It matches the Rfam family "Bacterial small subunit ribosomal RNA", at positions 102 to 679 of the family's 1533-position model. The record is from RNAcentral.
ACGGGUGAGUAACGUCUGGGAAACUGCCCGAUGGAGGGGGAUAACUACUGGAAACGGUAGCUAAUACCGCAUAACGUCGCAAGACCAAAGUGGGGGACCUUCGGGCCUCACACCAUCGGAUGUGCCCAGAUGGGAUUAGCUAGUAGGUGGGGUAAUGGCUCACCUAGGCGACGAUCCCUAGCUGGUCUGAGAGGAUGACCAGCCACACUGGAACUGAGACACGGUCCAGACUCCUACGGGAGGCAGCAGUGGGGAAUAUUGCACAAUGGGCGCAAGCCUGAUGCAGCCAUGCCGCGUGUAUGAAGAAGGCCUUCGGGUUGUAAAGUACUUUCAGCGGGGAGGAAGGCGGUGAAGUUAAUAGCUUCACCGAUUGACGUUACCCGCAGAAGAAGCACCGGCUAACUCCGUGCCAGCAGCCGCGGUAAUACGGAGGGUGCAAGCGUUAAUCGGAAUUACUGGGCGUAAAGCGCACGCAGGCGGUCUGUCAAGUCGGAUGUGAAAUCCCCGGGCUUAACCUGGGAACUGCAUUCGAAACUGGCAGACUGGAGUCUUGUAGAGGGGGGUAGAAUUCCAGGUGUAGC